CCUACGGGAGACUGCAGUGAGGACUAUUGGUCAAUGGACGCAAGUCUGAACCAGCCAUGCCGCGUGCAGGAAGACGCCUCCAUGAGUUGUAAACUGCUUUUGUACGAGGGUAAACGCAGAUACGCGUAUCUGUCUGAAAGUAUCGUACGAAUAAGGAUCGGCUAACUCCGUGCCAGCAGCCGCGGUAAUACGGAGGUUUCAAGCGUUAUCCGGAUUUAUUGGGUUAAAAGGGUUCGUAGGCGGACGGAUAAGUAGGGGUGAAAGCCCGAGGCUCAACUUCGGAAUUGCCGCUGAUACUGUUCGGCUAGAGAGUAGUUGCGGUAGGCGGAAUGUAUGGUGUAGCGGUGAAAUGCUUAGAGAUCAUACAGAACACCGAUUGCGAAGGCAGCUUACCGAGCUACUUUUGACGUUGAGGCACGAAAGCGUGGGGAGCAAACAGGAUUAGAUACCCUUGUAGUC
Molecule: ribosomal RNA, 459 nt
Filed under: uncultured bacterium
Lineage: Bacteria
Description: partial 16S ribosomal RNA
Rfam family: Bacterial small subunit ribosomal RNA
Source: RNAcentral